Molecule: ribosomal RNA, 1110 nt
Filed under: Triticum aestivum (bread wheat)
Lineage: Eukaryota; Viridiplantae; Streptophyta; Magnoliopsida; Poales; Poaceae
Description: partial small subunit ribosomal RNA
Source: RNAcentral
AUGUCUGGUCCGGGGCAAAAAACGUUCAAGAUCCUGUGCCGCGCCGACGAGGGGUACUGCGUCACCGUCCGCGGUGGCGAUGAUGGCGAUGCCGCCGUCGUCAUGGCGGCAGCAGACCCCGACGACGAGUACCAGCACUGGUACAAGGACAUGAGGCGCAGCACGAGGGUGAAGGACGAGGAGGGGUACCCGGCGUUCGCGCUCGUCAACAAGGCCACCGGGCUCGCCAUCAAGCACUCGCUCGGCCAGUCCCAUCCCGUCGAUCUGGUGCCGUACGAGUACGACCCAGCGGUAAUGGACCUGUCAGUGCUGUGGACGCAGAGCAGGGACGUGGGCGACGGCUUCCGCUGCAUCCGCAUGGUCAGCAACAUCUACCUCAACUUCGACGCCUUCGAGGGCGAGCCGGAGGUCCGGGACGGCACCGUCGUCGGGCUGUGGGAGUGGAACGAGGGGGGGAACCAGUGCUGGAAGAUCCUGCCGUGGGGCACCCAGGCGGAAGCCGACGGCGACGACGACCAGUACGGCGGGUACCACGGCGGCCAGGACCAGGAGACUACGCGUUUCAGCUACGGCGGAGACGAUGCGGCGCCGCAGGACCAAGGACAGGGGUGCGACGGUGGCCUGCCUCCUGCGCUGUCUUCCGAGUGCACGGUACGCAUGUUCUGCAGCGCCGGCGGAGAGGAGUACAGCGUCGCCGCGAGGGACGGUACCGUGUGCCUGGUUCCUACUGACCCCGGCGACGACUUGCAGCACUGGGUGAAGGACAUGCGGCGCAGCACCAGCAUCAAGGAUGAGGAUGGGUACCCUGCUUUCGCCCUGGUGAACAAGCACACCGGUGAAGCAAUCAAGCAUUCCCUUGGAGAGAGCCACCCUGUUCGGCUUGUGCGCUACGACCCGGACUACCUAGACGAGUCGGUGCUGUGGACAGAGAGCGAGGACGUCGGCGACGGCUUCCGCUGCGUCCGCAUGGUGAACAACAUCCACCUCAACUUUGACGCCCUCGACGCUGGCGAGGGUCAGGGCGGCGUGCACGACGGCACGGCUAUCGUCCUGUGGGAGUGGUGUGAAGGAGAGAACCAACGCUGGAAGAUCCUUCCUUGGUGUGAGUAA